Long non-coding RNA from Saccostrea cuccullata (small rock oyster), 632 nucleotides. RefSeq lists it as uncharacterized. NCBI's taxonomy places the organism in Eukaryota, Metazoa, Mollusca, Bivalvia, Ostreida, Ostreidae. The transcript has 3 exons. The record is from RefSeq and is a predicted model, not a curated record.
AAUUGUUUCAGGAUUUUCAACUAUAAACCUUGUUGUGUCGGAGAGAUAUGGAAUUCAACAGAGAAUAAAUGCAUGCAGUGUCCCUCGGGAUAUUUUGGAGAAAAUUGUACUUCACUGUGCAAUGUUCCGGAAUAUGGAUAUAGAUGUUCAUCAGGGAAGUGUACAUGCAACCGUGUCACUUGUAAAAUAUGAAAAUCUAGGGAAUGUUCAACAUUGCCCGUCACGAAAAAAGCUUUAGAAAGAACAACAAAUCCAUAUCCAAGUUAUAAGACGCAACAUAUUUCAAGUAUGAUGUUCAACAAUUCGUCGACAGAAAUAUUCUUCAGAAAAACAACCAUUAUAAAUGCAACUCUAUCAAAGAAUCAAACAAGCCUUGAUAAGGAGGGUAAAAUACCUUAUAUAAUUAUACUAAGUAUAUGUGGUGUGAUAUUAUUGUGUGUUGUCAUUGGUGAGUGUGUCAUUGUCGUUCGAAAAAAUUUUGCCAAGGAGAUUUACAAAAUGAUCAGCAAAGUUUUGAUCCUAUGUACAGUGUCGUCACAAUUAGAAAUGAGUAAAAAUUUAUCAAAUUAAACGGGCUUUUCUUUACAAAGACGUCUUCAUUUUUAAAAAAAAGAUGUUUCGAAAACGACAAA